AGGGCAGCAAGCAGAGCUCUCCGGCCAUGCGAGGGUGCAGGCAAGGAACUGGCUGCCUGUGCAACACUCACAACUACCAUUUACCUUGGUCCGUUUGAAAGAGAUGAGCUUACUUUCCCAGCCCAAUUAAUUCUCCAGGUAGAGUACGAACCUCACACAAGCUCCUGUUUACGAACAUCUGUGCAUACAUAUGUGUACACGGGGCCAUGCAGUCCAUGGUACAUGCCUUUCCUUAAUGGUUUUCAGGCUUCACUUCAGCGAGGGAGGAGAGACAUGUCUCAUGGCCGUGCGUUUUCUGCCUCUCCGUGGCAGGAGGGAACGCGGGCAGGCUCUUUUCCUUCACUGACAUCUGCUACAACAGCCGACUACUUUCGACAAUAAAGUGCGAGGCAUAACUGAGGGAUCUACGCAGUCUUCAGCACCAGCAGUGAGUUAAGAAGGAAAGAAGCUCUCAUUAGUCUUCUGGAUCUCCAACUGAGUUUGCUGCACUGGAAGGUGUUUGGGGGGUUUGGUGUUGUUGGGUUUUUUACAUGAAAACACAGCAAAUUUGACUAUGAAGCAUAAGAAAUAUUUUGGCAUAUAUUUUUAAAAACAGGGUCAUACUUUAAUACUGACUGUCUAGCUGCACAGUAUACGCUAUACCUUGAUAUUGCAUUGUUACAAUGAUAUAUAUUACAGCACCAAAUAAUAGCCAUUGUUUACUGAAUUCAGGUUAGAGUAUCUACCCUUCCUCUCAUUUGAUUUUCCUAAAUUUUUUGAUUUUCCUAAAUCUUCUUCUGUCCCAAGCACAUUUUAUCCUUAAUCUAGUCAUACGCCACACCUUGACCAUAUGGUCCUCUACUGGGGAACAGAGUAAUUCUAGGCAAUUAAAGCGCUUGUUUGUAUCCAUUUCAUCUGUAGAUCUAUGGAGGUGCAAGCAAAAUAGGUUGGAUAGUGAAGACUGCUAAUGCUGAUAGCGCUUUAGAUCACUUGAUAAUCUUUUUCCUGUGCUAGUUAUUACUGAAUGGAAAUCAAAUGCAUGCAUGUUAGGGCUAAGAACAGAUGGCACUUCUGUUCUGUGAGGAAGAAACAGGGGCAAAGGGGCAGCAAAGUUGAACCUCCCCCCUUCCCUAUCUUACCAGGAUUCAUUGUGUGGCCCUCCUGUUACGGUUGGCUGUGACUCUUUAUUGUCAUAAAGAGAUGUGAGAAGUUAGAGAGAGACAGACAAUAACCUUAAAUCCUUUACUGCAUUUUACCAGGGGUCUUAAAAAAACAUAUAAAAAAAUAAAACGCAGCUGAGGGAGCUGGAAAAUGUCA
Struthio camelus australis is the source of this 1296-nucleotide long non-coding RNA. NCBI's taxonomy places the organism in Eukaryota, Metazoa, Chordata, Aves, Struthioniformes, Struthionidae. The record is from Ensembl.